AGGAUGCACAUUUUUUAGGUUUUAUAUGCUGUGGAUAAUAUGCCCUUGAGAAAGAGAGCUUUCAGGAAACCAUCUGUUCCUGUGAUGAAAGCUUGCCUCGGGAAUUACAACGACCCAGGUUUAAAGUUGGACUUUGCCACUUUCCAGCGAUAUCCUGACUUCCAAGGACGCCCAGCUCUGUUUCUGUGACCCAGGGAAACUACGACUCAGCUUUGCUGGGUUCUCCAUCCCUGUACCAUGACCUGGAAACUUUCUCCGAGUAAUAAGAGCUCAGGUAGUCAUAACGCUCGCCUCAUUUGUCUCCUGUCAAUCAGGGAUCCCCACUCAUCAUUGCCUGAUGUCCAAUAUCUUAAGUACUGUUGUUUCAUUUGUAUAUCUUUAUUUCCAGCUAUUUCAGGCAAGAGGACAAAUCUGGUCCUGGUUAUUCUAUCUUGAUUGGAAGUGGAAGUCCCUAUAUUCUUAUUUAACCUAAUAUUUCCCUUUAAAAAGUCUAAAUUUUCCUUUAUG
RNAcentral lists this long non-coding RNA (507 nucleotides) under Equus caballus (horse). Its description in RNAcentral is "lncRNA (ENSECAG00000052621.1)". The record is from RNAcentral. Lineage: Eukaryota; Metazoa; Chordata; Mammalia; Perissodactyla; Equidae.